CUUCCUUUGGACCUCAUGUGUCAGAGGAAAGUUCUUGACCUCAUCAGUAGUGCUACUCCUGCUGAAGUUGUCAAGAUGGACCCUCCGUUGACAUGCUGGAACUUAUUUUUCUGGGAAACUCCACCUCCUCCCCACAUCAUGAUGCUGUGUUAGGUUCAUCACUCCACUUUGCUAAUACUGCUGCUGAUAACAUCUUAGCUUGGGGUUGCCUAUCUCUGUUUCUCACAGUAGCCAGC
Long non-coding RNA from Protopterus annectens (West African lungfish), 236 nucleotides. RefSeq lists it as uncharacterized. The record is from RefSeq and is a predicted model, not a curated record. The transcript has 3 exons. NCBI's taxonomy places the organism in Eukaryota, Metazoa, Chordata, Ceratodontiformes, Protopteridae.